GUCUGUAUCCUCCUGCUCUCUGUACCAAGACCACACAAUAGUCAGAGAAGCCUGGUCAGGACCCGGGCCCCAGUCCUCACCUUGUGGCCUCCCACAGGAAGGGGCCCUGGACCUUCUGAAGAAGCUGCACAGCUGCCAGAUGUCCAUCCAGCUACUACAGACAACCAGGAUUGGAGUUGCUGUUAAUGGGGUCCGCAAGCACUGCUCAGACAAGGAGGUGGUGUCCUUGGCCAAAGUCCUUAUCAAAAACUGGAAGCGGCUGCUAGACUCCCCUGGACCCCCAAAAGGAGAAAAAGGAGAGGAAAGAGAAAAAGCAAAGAAGAAGGAAAAAGGGCUUGAGUGUUCAGACUGGAAGCCAGAAGCAGGCCUUUCUCCACCAAGGAAAAAACGAGAAGACCCCAAAACCAGGAGAGACUCUGUGGACUCCAAGUCUUCUGCCUCCUCCUCUCCAAAAAGACCAUCGGUGGAAAGGUAAAGGAAACCACAGCUUUCUCCAUCCCAGUGUCCUAUUCAGCCUGUGUCCCCUUCUCUGUUUUUAUGGAGGAAGCCCAAGGCAGAGGAAAGGAGGGAAGGAA
Molecule: small RNA, 575 nt
Filed under: Pan troglodytes (chimpanzee)
Lineage: Eukaryota; Metazoa; Chordata; Mammalia; Primates; Hominidae
Description: retained intron
Source: RNAcentral